AUUGAACGCUGGCGGCAUGCCUUACACAUGCAAGUCGAACGGUAACAGGUCUUCGGAUGCUGACGAGUGGCGAACGGGUGAGUAAUACAUCGGAACGUGCCUAGUAGUGGGGGAUAACUACUCGAAAGAGUGGCUAAUACCGCAUGAGAUCUACGGAUGAAAGCAGGGGAUCGCAAGACCUUGUGCUACUAGAGCGGCCGAUGGCAGAUUAGGUAGUUGGUGGGAUAAAAGCUUACCAAGCCGACGAUCUGUAGCUGGUCUGAGAGGACGAUCAGCCACACUGGGAAUGAGAAGCGGCCCAGGCUCCUACGGGAGGCAGCAGUGGGGAAUUUUGGACAAUGGGCGCAAGCCUGAUCCAGCAAUGCCGCGUGCAGGAUGAAGGCCUUCGGGUUGUAAACUGCUUUUGUACGGAACGAAAAGCCCCGGGUUAAUACCCUGGGGUCAUGACGGUACCGUAAGAAUAAGCACCGGCUAACUACGUGCCAGCCGCCGCCGUAA
RNAcentral lists this ribosomal RNA (498 nucleotides) under uncultured bacterium. RNAcentral describes it as "partial 16S ribosomal RNA". It matches the Rfam family "Bacterial small subunit ribosomal RNA", at positions 30 to 523 of the family's 1533-position model. The record is from RNAcentral.